CCGCAAUCCAUGAACCAGUUUAGUAGCCCUUCUCUGAACCCUCUCUAAGGUAUCAAUAUCCUUCUGAAGAUACGGUCUCCAGUACUGUGUACAAUACUCCAAGUGAGGUCUCACCAGUGUUCUGUACAAUGGCAUGAGCACUUCCCUCUUUCUACUGCCAAUACCUCUCCCUAUACAACCAAGCAUUCUGCUAGCAUUUCCUGCUGCUCUAUUACAUUGUCUGCCUACCUUUAAGUCAUCAGAAAUAAUCACCCCUAAAUCCCUUUCCUCAUAUGUUGAUGUUAGGACUCUAUCAAAUAUUUUGUACUCUGCCCUUGAGUUUUUACGUCCAAGAUGCAUUAUCUUGCACUUAUCCACAUUAAAUGUCAG
Molecule: non-coding RNA, 369 nt
Organism: Pelobates cultripes (western spadefoot toad)
Lineage: Eukaryota; Metazoa; Chordata; Amphibia; Anura; Pelobatidae
Source: the annotation of a GenBank genome assembly